GCUCCAAUAGCGUAUAUUAAAGUUGUUGCGGUUAAAAAGCUCGUAGUCGAAUCUGUGUCUCGCGCCGCCGGUUCAUCGCUCGCGGUGUUAACUGGCGUGUUCGCGAGACGUCCUGCCGGUGGGCUUAGCUCUUCGGGGCGGUCCAACUUGAAAUCCCACCGCGGUGCUCUUGACUGAGUGUCGGUGGUGGGCCGGCACUUUUACUUUGAACAAAUUAAAGUGCUUAAAGCAGGCUAAAACCUCGCCUGAAUACACGUGCAUGGAAUAAUGGAAUAGGACCUCGGUUCUAUUUUGUUGGUUUUAGGAACAACGAGGUAAUGAUUAAUAGGGACGGAUGGGGGCAUUCGUAUUGCGACGUUAGAGGUGAAAUUCUUGGAUCGUCGCAAGACGGACAGAAGCGAAAGCAUUUGCCAAAAACGCUUUCAUUGAUCAAGAACGAAAGUUAGAGGUUCGAAGGCGAUCAGAUACCGCCCUAGUUCUAACCAUAAACGAUGCCAGCUAGCGAUCCGCCGAUGUUCCUCCGAUGACUCGACGGGCAGCUUCCGGGAAACCAAAGCUUUUGGGUUCCGGGGGAAGUAUGGUUGCAAAGCUGAAACUUAAAGGAAUUGACGGAAGGGCACCACCAGGAGUGGAGCCUGCGGCUUAAUUUGACUCAACACGGGAAACCUCACCAGGCCCGGACACCGGAAGGAUUGACAGAUUGAGAGCUCUUUCUUGAUUCGGUGGGUGGUGGUGCAUGGCCGUUCUUAGUUGGUGGAGCGAUUUGUCUGGUUAAUUCCGAUAACGAACGAGACUCUAGCCUGUUAACUAGGCGGAUUUACGACAUCUCAAAGGCCCGCCGGCCCGUCGCUCAAGCGUCGCGGUCGCGCGCGGUUUUUACUGUCGGCGUACAAUAAAUUCUUCUUAGAGGGACAGGCGGCUUCUAGCCGCACGAGAUUGAGCAAUAACAGGUCUGUGAUGCCCUUAGAUGUUCUGGGCCGCACGCGCGCUACACUGAAGGAAUCAGCGUGUCCUCCCUGGCCGAGAGGCCCGGGUAACCCGCUGAACCUCCUUCGUGCUAGGGAUUGGGGCUUGCAAUUGUUCCCCAUGAACGAGGAAUUCCCAGUAAGCGCGAGUCAUAAGCUCGCGUUGAUUACGUCCCUGCCCUUUGUACACACCGCCCGUCGCUACUACCGAUUGAAUGAUUUAGUGAGGUCUUCGGACUGGUACGCGGUGGCGCUCCCGCGUCGCCGAU
Molecule: ribosomal RNA, 1234 nt
Filed under: Hydrophilus simulator
Lineage: Eukaryota; Metazoa; Arthropoda; Insecta; Coleoptera; Hydrophilidae
Description: SSU rRNA
Rfam family: Eukaryotic small subunit ribosomal RNA
Source: RNAcentral